RNAcentral lists this ribosomal RNA (496 nucleotides) under uncultured bacterium. RNAcentral describes it as "partial 16S ribosomal RNA". It matches the Rfam family "Bacterial small subunit ribosomal RNA", at positions 29 to 507 of the family's 1533-position model. The record is from RNAcentral.
AUGAACGCUGGCGGCGUGCCUAAUACAUGCAAGUCGAGCGAACAGACGAGGAGCUUGCUCCUCUGACGUUAGCGGCGGACGGGUGAGUAACACGUGGAUAACCUACCUAUAAGUCUGGGAUAACUUCGGGAAACCGGAGCUAAUACCGGAUAAUAUAUUGAACCGCAUGGUUCCAUAGUGAAAGACGGUUUUGCUGUCACUUAUAGAUGGAUCCGCGCCGCAUUAGCUAGUUGGUAAGGUAACGGCUUACCAAGGCAACGAUGCGUAGCCGACCUGAGAGGGUGAUCGGCCACACUGGAACUGAGACACGGUCCAGACUCCUACGGGAGGCAGCAGUAGGGAAUCUUCCGCAAUGGGCGAAAGCCUGACGGAGCAACGCCGCGUGAGUGAUGAAGGUCUUCGGAUCGUAAAACUCUGUUAUUAGGGAAGAACAAAUGUGUAAGUAACUAUGCACGUCUUGACGGUACCUAAUCAGAAAGCCACGGCUAACUACGUG